UGCAUGGACUGUCAUUGACGAUCUUGGUCCACGAAUGUCCCUGCACCAUCCAUGCAUAAGGAUUCAACAUGUAAUCUGUAAUUCUUUAUUGCGAAACACCAAAUAAUUGUCGAGUUGAGUUGACGAGUUGAAGGACCCUCGUAUAGUCGUAUACGCAUAUUACUUUAUCUGAUUAGUGGAAUUUAAAGUUUGGUUUUACUACUGUUCAACUUAAACAUAACUGGCACUAACACUAUUUGUAUAGAUCUUUUUUGUCUCUUGAGAGACACUCGUCAUUGUAGUCUAGUGAUAUUUUUCUUUGUAAGUGAGAUGUUCGAAUCUCGUGAAUGGCAAAUUCAUUACCUAUAUUUUCUUUGAUCUAAUAAUGUACGUAGAAGUAUUGAUAUUGCUUUCAUAUUUACAUACGCAAUCAUUUGUAUUUUGUUUUUCCUUUUUCUAGGGCUGCAACUUUAUUGCACUAUUUUGUAAGGUUUCUUGUUUUGUCUUGGUUAAUUGGUUUGUUUUGGUGGGG
Molecule: long non-coding RNA, 511 nt
Filed under: Malus domestica (apple)
Lineage: Eukaryota; Viridiplantae; Streptophyta; Magnoliopsida; Rosales; Rosaceae
Description: long non-coding RNA (MDOM_LNC014898)
Source: RNAcentral